This 980-nucleotide long non-coding RNA is filed under the name Monodelphis domestica (gray short-tailed opossum). RNAcentral describes it as "lncRNA (ENSMODG00000049875.1)". Lineage: Eukaryota; Metazoa; Chordata; Mammalia; Didelphimorphia; Didelphidae. The record is from RNAcentral.
GAAAUGGGAUCAAAAAGGAGCACAGAGAUAACCUGAAUAUGCCAAAAGAGCUCAAAGGUCUAAAAAGCAAAGACCAAUCCAGGUAAAACCAGGAGAAAACCCAAAGCAAAACAAAAACUGGUGCUAACUUUGCUAUACAGAAAAAUCACAUGUCACCGGCAAGACAAUACAAAGACUGGAGUACUCAAGCUACUCUAAAGGAAAGAAAGAAGAGCAGAGUUCAGUGGAAGAUGAUGAAUACAGAUCAUGUAUCUGGCAGUGAACCUACAGCUUCCUUUAUUAAAAGGAACCAAGUUAUUUGUAAUUUGAGUCUCCACAAACAUUGAUGUGCAUGUUUUCCCUUUAUCUUCAAGCAACAACUGUCACUAGAUGUCAUAUAAUUAGGAAAGGUAAGCAUCAUUUUAAAUGUUCAGUCUACUGCCAAUUUCAUGCCACUGAUUGUCCACCACUAUUAUUGGCAGUAAAAUGGGGGUGGUGAUAAAUUGAAAUACUUAUUUCUGGCUGUCAAAUGAUGAAUAGCAUUUAUGUUCACAAAUUUGACUGUGGGAGUUAGGAGGGGAAGGCACUAAAUUAGGUUGGACUGGGUUCAGGCAAAAUCAUUUUACUUCACUUAUAAAGUGAGCAAAGAGAAAGAAAAAAAUAUAUCCUCUCUCCCCCACCCACCCUUUUAAUUUCCACAUAACUAAACACUCCAACUGACUUAAAUAAGACAUCAAAAUCCCUGUCCAGUGCUGAACUAGGAGAAAGUUUGGGGGGGAGUGAGGGGGGAGGAAGGCUUUUGGAUUGUUGUUAUAUGGGCAGAAAUGCAAAAAUCAUCCUCCCCAAAGAAAGUCCAGAUCCAUGGAUGACAGUAUGUCUGUCACAGGCAGUUCAUAAGUUCCAGAAAUUUCUUCUCCAAUGUAAAGUAAUCCAAAAUUAGAGCAACUAACUAAAUUGCUGCAGGUAGUUCAAUAAAUGAAGAACAUUUAAUAUUCCUCUCA